RNAcentral lists this ribosomal RNA (490 nucleotides) under uncultured bacterium. RNAcentral describes it as "partial 16S ribosomal RNA". It matches the Rfam family "Bacterial small subunit ribosomal RNA", at positions 30 to 507 of the family's 1533-position model. The record is from RNAcentral.
AUUGAACGCUGGCGGCAGGCCUAACACAUGCAAGUCUAACGGUAACAGAAAGCAGCUUGCUGCUUUGCUGACGAGUGGCGGACGGGUGAGUAAUGUCUGGGAAACUGCCUGAUGGAGGGGGAUAACUACUGGAAACGGUAGCUAAUACCGCAUAACGUCGCAAGACCAAAGAGGGGGACCUUCGGGCCUCUUGCCAUCGGAUGUGCCCAGAUGGGAUUAGCUAGUAGGUGGGGUAAAGGCUCACCUAGGCGACGAUCCCUAGCUGGUCUGAGAGGAUGACCAGCCACACUGGAACUGAGACACGGUCCAGACUCCUACGGGAGGCAGCAGUGGGGAAUAUUGCACAAAGGGCGCAAGCCUGAUGCAGCCAUGCCGCGUGUAUGAAGAAGGCCUUCGGGUUGUAAAGUACUUUCAGCGGGGAGGAAGGGAGUAAAGUUAAUACCUUUGCUCAUUGACGUUACCCGCAGAAGAAGCACCGGCUAACUCCGUG